AACAAUAGACAAGUACUCUUCGAUAUAUAAAGUUGUAGACUCAUAAAGUCGAGCUAAUAUGAUUGACACAAACUAUUAAAAUUUCACUCAAUUAAACACUUGACAUGACAUGAAAUAGAAAGAUAUUUUCACCCAUUAAACUUGAGCCAAUCAUGAAUCUCUAAGUAAAUCAUAUUGUGAUUUAUUCAAAAAUAGCCUUGCUUGACUAAAUCUUCAUUAAUCAUUGUACAAGCCCGUUUGACCCCCUAGCCCAAAACCUAUUUCCUAACCCUCAAGCCCAAUACCCAAACAAAAGCCCAAAAAACUCCCGGGCCCAAAUAACCUUAACCCUAGCCUAAAUUUACAAAUCAGAAACAAAAGGACAAAAAAAACCUAGCUGCUGCCUCCCCGUGCCAGGUCUGCCACCGUCUGUCACGUCCACCGCCUCACCGCCCAAGUUGCACCUGCAAGCAUUAAUAGGAGUGGACAGAAAGCAAGAAAAGAAAAAAUGUAAUAGAUAUAAAAGACCGAGCAGAAAACCAUUGUGGCUCUCGGCAUUUUUUAGAUACAAAUAAAGCAUUCAAUUUUUCUAGCAAGGAAAACAGCAAUAUCAUCCAUCAAAAGAAAAGAGAAACAGCAUAAAAAAAAAACUAAAAGCCCUCAGAAACAGAAGCCAUAGGCACAAGGUGAUUCGUUUGCUUUCCCCUUUUUAUUGUUUUUUUUCAUAGCCAAAUCUACCUAUUAAAUGCCCUUAUAUAAGUAUAAAUAUACAACAUAAACAAAGGAAACACACUUAAAAACAAGAAAAGGAAAUUUUUUUACCUUCGACCGUCGUGCACGGCGGUCGCAGGUGCCAGAGUCGCGGCGGAGGACGGUGGAAGAC
RNAcentral lists this long non-coding RNA (862 nucleotides) under Gossypium barbadense (sea-island cotton). RNAcentral's name for it is "long non-coding RNA (GBAR_LNC009709)". Lineage: Eukaryota; Viridiplantae; Streptophyta; Magnoliopsida; Malvales; Malvaceae. The record is from RNAcentral.